AGGAUGAACGCUAGCGACAGGCUUAACACAUGCAAGUCGAGGGUAACAGGGUAGCAAUACCGCUGACGACCGGCGCACGGGUGAGUAACGCGUAUGCAACCUGCCUAUAACUGGGGAAUAGCUCCCUGAAAGGGGAAUUAACACCGCAUAACACUAUUGAUUCGCAUGGAUUUGUAGUUAAAUGUAGCGAUACAGGUUAUAGAUGGGCAUGCGUGACAUUAGCUAGUUGGUGAGGUAACGGCUCACCAAGGCUACGAUGUCUAGGGGUUCUGAGAGGAAGGUCCCCCACACUGGUACUGAGACACGGACCAGACUCCUACGGGAGGCAGCAGUGAGGAAUAUUGGUCAAUGGGCGCAAGCCUGAACCAGCCAUGUCGCGUGCAGGAAGACUGCCCCCUAUGGGUUGUAAACUGCUUUUAUAGUAGAAGAAACACAUCUACGUGUAGAUGUCUGCCAGUAUACUAUGAAUAAGCAUCGGCUAACUCCGUGCCAGCAGCAGC
RNAcentral lists this ribosomal RNA (500 nucleotides) under uncultured bacterium. Its description in RNAcentral is "bacterial SSU rRNA". It matches the Rfam family "Bacterial small subunit ribosomal RNA", at positions 26 to 518 of the family's 1533-position model. The record is from RNAcentral.